Molecule: ribosomal RNA, 253 nt
Filed under: uncultured bacterium
Lineage: Bacteria
Description: partial 16S ribosomal RNA
Rfam family: Bacterial small subunit ribosomal RNA
Source: RNAcentral
UACGGAGGGGGCUAGCGUUGUUCGGAAUUACUGGGCGUAAAGCGCACGUAGGCGGCUUUGUAAGUUAGAGGUGAAAGCCCGGGGCUCAACUCCGGAAUUGCCUUUAAGACUGCAUCGCUAGAAUUGUGGAGAGGUGAGUGGAAUUCCGAGUGUAGAGGUGAAAUUCGUAGAUAUACGGAAGAACACCAGUGGCGAAGGCGACUCACUGGACACAUAUUGACGCUGAGGUGCGAAAGCGUGGGGAGCAAACAGG